RNAcentral lists this ribosomal RNA (29 nucleotides) under Acanthinula aculeata. Its description in RNAcentral is "partial 5.8S ribosomal RNA". The record is from RNAcentral. Lineage: Eukaryota; Metazoa; Mollusca; Gastropoda; Stylommatophora; Valloniidae.
AACUUCGAGCGGUGGAUCACACGGCUCGU